This 499-nucleotide unclassified non-coding RNA is filed under the name uncultured Glomus. RNAcentral's name for it is "SSU rRNA". It matches the Rfam family "Eukaryotic small subunit ribosomal RNA", at positions 591 to 1092 of the family's 1831-position model. Lineage: Eukaryota; Fungi; Glomeromycota; Glomeromycetes; Glomerales; Glomeraceae. The record is from RNAcentral.
CCAAUAGCGUAUAUUAAAGUUGUUGCAGUUAAAAAGCUCGUAGUUGAAUUUCGGGAUCAAGUCGUCGGUCGUGCCUCGGUACGCACUGGUGACAUUGGUUUCUCCCUUCUGAAGAACCUUGAUGUCAUUAAUUUGGUGUCUUGGGGAAUCAGGACUGUUACUUUGAAAAAAUUAGAGUGUUUAAAGCAGGCUCACGCUUGAAUACAUUAGCAUGGAAUAAUGAAAUAGGACGUUUGAUUCUAUUUUGUUGGUUUCUAGGAUCGACGUAAUGAUUAAUAGGGAUAGUUGGGGGCAUUAGUAUUCAAUUGUCAGAGGUGAAAUUCUUGGAUUUAUUGAAGACUAACUACUGCGAAAGCAUUUGCCAAGGAUGUUUUCAUUAAUCAAGAACGAAAGUUAGGGGAUCGAAGACGAUCAGAUACCGUCGUAGUCUUAACCAUAAACUAUGCCGACUAGGAAUCAGACGAUGUUAAUUUUUUAAUGACUCGUUUGGCACCUUACG